GACCCCUUCGUCUAGAGGUUAGGACACAACCCUUUCACGGUUGAGACAGGGGUUCGAUUCCCCUAGGGGUCACCA
RNAcentral lists this transfer RNA (75 nucleotides) under bacterium. RNAcentral's name for it is "tRNA-Glu". It matches the Rfam family "tRNA". From Rfam's summary of the family: Transfer RNA (tRNA) molecules are approximately 80 nucleotides in length. RNAcentral also lists the same sequence under 3 other names. The record is from RNAcentral.